RNAcentral lists this long non-coding RNA (5749 nucleotides) under Brassica napus (rape). Its description in RNAcentral is "long non-coding RNA (BNAP_LNC019405)". The record is from RNAcentral. Lineage: Eukaryota; Viridiplantae; Streptophyta; Magnoliopsida; Brassicales; Brassicaceae.
GAGUGUUUAUGAGAGAAUAAGAGGCUUAGGAACAUAGAUUAAGAGACUGAGAGAUUAGGAGAAUAAGAGAUUAGAGAUUAGGGUUUCAGAUUCAAGAACAAGUUUAUCAUUCAUGAAGUGAAGAGGGGAACUCCUCCUUACUCCCUGAGGGUUACAAAUCGCCACUACAUAGCCUUUAUAUAGGGCUUACACUUUGCAAUUACAUAAACCCUUAAUCUAAUGGAUAGAAAUAACUUGAGAUGAAUGGAUGGCUAGGAUGGAAGGUGAGUUUGCAAUAUGUGCGAUGUCUUGUGAUUGGAUGAUAGAUGAUGGUGUCUGAUUGGUUAAUUCAAAUCUAGUCAAGGCAAGAGCUGGCUUCUGAUUGGCUGAUUAUAGGCUCCUAUGAACCUUCCCAUGUAUCAGACCAGAUACAUGGUCCAUGCUCCUUUAACUUUACAGCUCACUUUAGCUCAUGACAGCCUGCCUUAUCCACAAACGUCCACAAGCUGCUACAGCUCAGGUCGUCUCUCUUCUUUCUGAACAGGCGCCCUAUCUUUGCACUUCUUCACUUCGGGUUGAUUCGGAACAAGUACGGUCGAUGGUACGGACCAUCUGUCCGUACCUCGCCCUAUUUUCGCACCAUCACUCAACUAUCUCCAAAUGGUGUCUAAGUCCCUCCUGGACUUGACUUGGAUCAAGUGUUACUCGUUUUAAGAUUAAGCAAACGGGUACUGGCUUGUGGGGAGGGGGAGGGGGCAUUUUCAUUCAGUAUAAUAAGCUUUAUGAGCAUUGGUGUUUUAUUUGAUUCUAAGAGUAGAAGGAAGCUAGUUCUUCCAUUGUUUCAUUGUUUUCUAUCACGUAUGGGAAUAAAGUUGUUAUUUGGGUUUCAUGGUGCUUUGGUCUUUUAACGUUUCUCAUACCAUAUUCUUGUAAUGACACUAUGAAUUUGGUGUGGAACCAUGAGAGAGUUUGGGGGUGUAUAGGUAUAUGGAUUUUCAGGCGCGAUCCAAUAAUGUUUUUAGAUUAUGAUCAGUGGAUGGAAGAGAUAUAUGUUAACAAUGUUUGGAUUGUGGAUCAUUAUUUAAUUGUGUAUAAGGGUCCAGUAAUUGGCUGGCAGGAAUGGGAACACAUUGUGAAAUCAUGGUUUGGAAUAUUAAGGAUACGGAGGAGUGUCAUGUGGUUUGUUCAAUGGAGACUAAAGAGCUUAUAUUGGCUAAAUAUUCUACGCUUUAUAUGGAGAUUAAUAUCUCAAAACCAGGGUAUCAAUAUGGCGAUUGACAAGGAAUGUAAUCUGAACUCAUCAGAUCAUAAGGGUUUAUUAGAUCACAGUAUCACUAAUCCUUAUUAUUUUAUUAUUUUUACUCUUGUUUGGAGUGUAAAGCAAUACAGGACAGCUAUGGUAUUUGUGGUAGUGGUGUUGGACAUAAAAUUCUUGGUACAAGAGUGGCAUGAACAAAUGAUAGAGUCAAUUGGCCUUAUGAUCAUAGCAGUUGCAUCUAAGGAGAUUCCUUUUAAGGACGCUAGGGUGUGGUUUCGAUCUGGGGACUUGAGAAGAAAAUAUAAAAACUUUGGGUGGUUUGGAAUUUUUAAUGUUUUUAGCUUGAAACUUAUAAGAUCUUGUCUGGAAACUUUUUUUUUUUUUUUUGGUUAUUCCUGGAGCUCAUUGGUAUUGGAACAUAAAUUGAAUUUGGUAUGGUUAAACAAAGAGCAAAUUUUGCGGAUUAGGAAUCGAGGUGGGCGUUUGUUUUGGACUAAAUGGUGUUCUAAUUGUCAUCAGAAUGAGGGAUUAAGACAGUGUGAGCGAGAUUUGUGUCGGGGUGAUGUAUUUUUAUUCGUCGUUUUGGUAUGGUGGUCGUGGGGUUUUGGAAUUGUUGGUUUUUCGGGUGGCAUCAAACCUGAGUCCUUACGCUCGUAUGAGCAAUAUAAAUAUUUUUAUAUAUGAAAAUACUAAGUUGGAAUUGCAGAGGAGUUGGAAGUUAUGAGAUUUGUAGAGUUCUCUUCUCUGGUUGUACGUGUGUAUAAACUCCAAUGCAGAAAGAUGAGAGUUUACUCUAGGUGAUUUAGAAAGAGAGAUGGAUGAGAGUGUUUAUGAGAGAAUAAGAGGCUUAGGAACAUAGAUUAAGAGACUGAGAGAUUAGGAGAAUAAGAGAUUAGAGAUUAGGGUUUCAGAUUCAAGAACAAGUUUAUCAUUCAUGAAGUGAAGAGGGGAACUCCUCCUUACUCCCUGAGGGUUACAAAUCGCCACUACAUAGCCUUUAUAUAGGGCUUACACUUUGCAAUUACAUAAACCCUUAAUCUAAUGGAUAGAAAUAACUUGAGAUGAAUGGAUGGCUAGGAUGGAAGGUGAGUUUGCAAUAUGUGCGAUGUCUUGUGAUUGGAUGAUAGAUGAUGGUGUCUGAUUGGUUAAUUCAAAUCUAGUCAAGGCAAGAGCUGGCUUCUGAUUGGCUGAUGAAGCCCUUCUAUAACACUCCUGAAGCCUAUCAGACAAUCUCUGGAAGACUUGCCCUAUUCUUGCACAAGACCCAAACUCAACUCAACUCCUCCUUUGGCUCCAUUUCUUUCUUCAAGUUAACACUCCCCCUCAAGCUUGACUCUAGGCGAUCCUAAGUCAAUCUUGGAACCUUGAAGAACUCUCUCAUUAAAAACCUUACCAAGGAAAACCCUUUGGGACAAAACCUUGAUGAGGGAAAAAGAGUAGAGCCAACAAGGCCUAGGGAUUGGCCAGUGAGCUCUUGUGCCUUAGAACCAGUGUGGUUGGACACAAGAAGCUCUAGAUCACGGCCUAAACAGGUGCAGCAACACUUCAAGUUUUGCGCACACUUCACCACACCUUCUUGGACUCUUUUAUCGAACCGGUUUAGUGUCUCCCCCUUUCACCGAACUUCAUGCCAUCUUGAAAGGCUAGGAGCGACCUGAUCCUCUCCAUUGAGUCUCCAAGUAAGGUACCUGAUAUAUUAUUCCACAAGUGUAUCAAUACUUAUCAAGUACGUAACUCAAUCAAUUCAUGCUUAUAGACCGUCUUAGUAAGACUAGUAUUCUUUAUAGAUUACUAGAUAUGUUGCUGUCUAGUAAAACUAAUAUUCCUAACGGAUUACUAGAUAUGAUUGAAAAUGAUGAAUUGAAAUUGAGUACAGGAAAACAUCCCUUUUGUUUUGGUGAGGAGUGACUGGACCGGCCUGAGUCUUCCCUUCUCUCGUGGCUUCUUGCCAUCUCCAUCAGGUAAGACAUGCCUAGCUCCUUUUGCUUUGGUGAGGAGUGCCUGCUCUUCACACACCACUUGAGUCCCUCACUUGCUGAGCUUAUCAGCUCCUUCUCUUAUCAUGCAAGCUCACCAACACUCCCCCUCAAGCUUGAGACCGAGUAUAGGGAAGGUCCAAGCUUGAAGGUGAGCGCAUACUAAGCUCUAUGAUCAUUCUUGUGGGAACACCUCCAUCUUCUUCAGACUUGAUGCUUACAGCCCCACUUCUCCAUGAUCAGCUUGCAAUGGUCUUGGUCUUAAUUGCAUCACCCUCCUGGUGAUGCUCUUCCUUGCAUGUCUACUGUCCUCUCUACACUCAUCUGAUGUGUAGGCUAUGGUGACUAAACCACCAUGGACAGAACCGCAAGUCACCUCUCCAUUGUCACAACAAUCUCUCUACCCUCUUUGGAGCAGACUGCGGACUUCUCCACAGAAUGUUGGCAAUAGGCUUCAUCUUUCCAUUUUCCCAACAUCCUCUCUACCCUCUUUGGAGCAGGCUGUGGACUUCUCCACAGAAUGUUGGCAAUAGGCUUCAUCUCUCCAUUGUCACAACAUCCUUUCUACCCUCUUUGGAGCAGGUUGUGGACUUCUCCACAGAAUGUUGGAAAUAUGCUUCAUCUCUCCAUUGUUACAACAUCCUCUCUACCCUCUUUGGAGUAGGUUGUGGACUUCUCCACAGAAUGUUGGCAAUAGGCUUCAUCUUAUCAUUCUCUUGUAAUGAUAAGGAGGAAACAUGUCUUGAACUUUGGCUCUUCAGGUUGCUCAUUUGAAUCCCCACCGCAAGCUUGAAUUGAGUAUAGGUUUAAGCUUGAAAUGAGCCUCAAUGAACUUCAAGACCAGGAGCACACCACCCUAACAGCUGCGCUUAAAUCACUGAUCCACCCUUUUGCCUUCAGCUUCAAGUACCCUCAGAUCACCGGCCUUCCUCAUGACUUAGGUGGUGACCUUCUUCUUCUUGUGUGUCUUGAACCAGGAGCUCAACAACCUCGUGGCCUGCGCUUCUUAAACCGGCUUCUACACACAAGAACCUUCCCAUUGCUCCACACAAUGGAUCAAGUCUUCCUCUUGUGUGUCUUGAACCAGGAGCUCAACAACCUCGUGGCCUGCGCUUCUUAAACCAGCUUCUACACACAAGUAUCUUCCCAUUGCUCCACACAAUGGUUCAAGUCUUCCUCUUGUCUUGGAUAGGUGGUGAGCAGAGAACACUUCUUGUGAACCUGAAACACCACUCAAACUCCAGCAAGGAUAAGACACAAGAGUAUUGGGAUCAAUCCUUGAUUAAUCAUCAAGUUUGAUUCCCAAUCUCACAAGCAUUGCAACAAAUUAAAACAAGUCGUCAAGGCAAGCAUUUUAUCUCUCAACAUCAAGCAAGACUCUUUAAGCAUCCUAGGACAGAUUCUAAAUCAUUUUAAUUCAUUUAGCAAUCUUUAAUACAUCCUCAGGUUUUCAAUCAAUACACAACCUCACAAUCAGUUCAUAUGCUCAAGCUUUUAACUAAAAGGAAAGAGAUCCAGCUUACAGCCAAGGAACUUGUUUGUUCCUUGAAUCUCCAUGGUACAUGGCAAGUUUUGAGCUGUUGGUUUCGAUCCCAGCAUCUUCUUCUUCCAUGAACCAUCCUCUUCAACUCUCCAUGUCAAAGACCCCACCUUUCUUCAUGGUUUGAACUCGCCACACCAGAUCCAUGUUGAAAGCUAUCACAUUUCUUCUAUGACAGUGAGAAAGGGGAGCUUGGAACUGGUUUUCAUGGAGAGGUUAGUAACGCCACUCCAUAACCUUUUCUUCUAGGGACCUUCUUCCUUCAAGGACGUUCAUGAGAGAGUGAGGCUGGACUGAGAAGAGCUUCUGGACGUCUAGGAUGGAACUUCUUCUUCUUGAAGAUGUAAAACAGCCGGACUGAACAUGAAGCUUCUUAUCAGCUUGAAAUGGCGUGGGAGUGAGCUGUGAGCUUAGGCGGAAGCAACACCAAGUUCAGGUGAACCUGGCUCUGAUACCAUAUGAGGUUUGUAGAGUUCUCUUCUCUGGUUGUAUGUGUGUGUGUAUAAACUCCAAUGGAGAAAGAUGAGAGCUUGCUCUAGGUGAUUUAGAAAGAGAGAUUGAUGAGAGUGUUUAUGAGAGAAUAAGAGACUUAGGAACAUAGAUUAAGAGACUGAGAGAUUAGAAGAAUAAGAGAUUAGAGAUUAGGGUUUCAGAUUCAAGAACAAGUUUAUCAUCCAUGAAGUGGAGAGAGGAACUCCCCCUUACUCCCUUAGGGUUACAAAUCGCCACUACAUAGCCUUUAUAUAGGCUUUACACUUUGCAAUUACAUAAACCCUUAAUCUAAUGGAUAGAAAUAACUUGAGAUGACUGGAUGGCUAGGAUGGAGGGUGAGUUUGCAAUCUGUGUGAUGUCUUGUGAUUGGAUGAUAGAUGAUGGUGUCUGAUUGGUUAAUUCAAAUCUGGUCAAGGCAAGGGCUGGCUUCUGAUUGGUUGCUUAUAGGCUCCUAUGAACCUUCCCAUGUAUCAGACCAGAUACAUGGUCCAUGCUCCUUUAACU